AGAUUGAACGCUAGCGGGAUGCUUUACACAUGCAAGUCGAGCGGCAGCACGGGUACUUGUACCUGGUGGCGAGCGGCGGACGGGUGAGUAAUGCCUAGGAAUCUGCCUGGUAGUGGGGGAUAACGCUCGGAAACGGACGCUAAUACCGCAUACGUCCUACGGGAGAAAGCAGGGGACCUUCGGGCCUUGCGCUAUCAGAUGAGCCUAGGUCGGAUUAGCUAGUUGGUGAGGUAAUGGCUCACCAAGGCGACGAUCCGUAACUGGUCUGAGAGGAUGAUCAGUCACGACUGGAACUGAGACACGGUCAGACCUCCGUACGGGAGCAGCGAGGUGGGAAUAGUGGACAAGUGGGACGAAAGCUGACUCCAGCCAUGCCGCGUG
This 381-nucleotide ribosomal RNA is filed under the name uncultured soil bacterium. RNAcentral describes it as "bacterial SSU rRNA". It matches the Rfam family "Bacterial small subunit ribosomal RNA", at positions 26 to 403 of the family's 1533-position model. The record is from RNAcentral.